CUAGGAUUAGAUACCCUAUUAUUUAAAAUUUAAAAACUGAAUUAUUAAUAGUUAAGGUCUUUAAAUUUAAAAAAUUUGGCGGUAUUUUAGUCUAUUCAGAGGAACCUGUUUUAUAAUUGAUAUUCCACGUUGGACCUUACUUUAAUUUAUUAAUUAGUUUAUAUACCGUUGUUAUAAAAAAUUUUAUAAGAAUAAUAAUUUUUAAAAUUAUAUAUCAGAUCAAGGUGUAGCUUAUAUUAGAGGAAAUAAUGGGUUACAAUAAAAUUAUUUAUAUGGAAAUUAUUAUGAAAAAUUAAUGGAAAGAGGAUUUGAUAGUAAAAUUAUAUAGAUUAAUAAUUUGAUUUUAGCUCUAAAAUAUGUACAUAUCGCCCGUCACUCUUAUUAUUAAAGUAAGAUAAG
This 399-nucleotide ribosomal RNA is filed under the name Melaloncha adusta. Its description in RNAcentral is "partial 12S ribosomal RNA". RNAcentral also lists the same sequence under 1 other name. The record is from RNAcentral. Lineage: Eukaryota; Metazoa; Arthropoda; Insecta; Diptera; Phoridae.